RNAcentral lists this ribosomal RNA (299 nucleotides) under uncultured bacterium. RNAcentral's name for it is "partial 16S ribosomal RNA". It matches the Rfam family "Bacterial small subunit ribosomal RNA", at positions 775 to 1067 of the family's 1533-position model. The record is from RNAcentral.
GGAUUAGAUACCCUGGUAGUCCUGGCCGUAAACGAUGAGCACUAGGUAGGGGGAGUUCCUAUGGCUUUCCCUGCCGUAGCUAAUGUAUUAAGUGCUCCGCCUGGGGAGUAUGCUCGCAAGGGUAAAACUCAAAGGAAUUGACGGGGGCUCACACAAGCGGUGGAGCAUGUGGUUUAAUUCGAUGCAACGCGAAGAACCUUACCCAGGCUUGACAUGUACGGAUUAGCUCUGUGAAAGCAGAGUGACGCCUUCGGGUGGAACGUACACAGGUGUUGCAUGGCUGUCGUCAGCUCGUGCUG